RNAcentral lists this ribosomal RNA (442 nucleotides) under uncultured bacterium. RNAcentral describes it as "partial 16S ribosomal RNA". It matches the Rfam family "Bacterial small subunit ribosomal RNA", at positions 338 to 795 of the family's 1533-position model. The record is from RNAcentral.
CCUACGGGAGGCUGCAGUGGGGAAUAUUGGGCAAUGGGCGAAAGCCUGACCCAGCAACGCCGCGUGAAGGAAGAAGGCUCUCGGGUUGUAAACUUCUUUUGACAGGGAAGAGCAGAAGACGGUACCUGUCGAAUAAGCCACGGCUAACUACGUGCCAGCAGCCGCGGUAAUACGUAGGUGGCAAGCGUUUUCCGGAUUUACUGGGUGGAAAGGGCGUGUAGCCGGGCUGACAAGUCAGAUGUGAAAUCCGGGGGCUCAACCCCCGAACUGCAUGUGAAACUGUUGGUCUUGAGUAUCGGAGAGGCAGGCGGAAUUCCUAGUGUAGCGGUGAAAUGCGUAGAUAUUAGGAGGAACACCAGUUGCGAAGGCGGCCUGCUGGACGACAACUGACGGUGAGGCGCGAAAGCGUGGGGAGCAAACAGGAUUAGAUACCCGGGUAGUC